ACGCUCGACACCUACGGAGGCAGCAGUGGGGAAUAUUGCACAAUGGGGGAAACCCUGAUGCAGCGACGCCGCGUGAGUGAAGAAGUAAUUCGUUAUGUAAAGCUCUAUCAGCAGGGAAGAAAGUGACGGUACCUGAGUAAGAAGCCCCGGCUAACUACGUGCCAGAAGCCGCGGUAAUCUGAGCGGGCUGGCAAGGC
This 197-nucleotide ribosomal RNA is filed under the name uncultured bacterium. RNAcentral describes it as "partial 16S ribosomal RNA". It matches the Rfam family "Bacterial small subunit ribosomal RNA", at positions 328 to 539 of the family's 1533-position model. The record is from RNAcentral.